RNAcentral lists this ribosomal RNA (456 nucleotides) under uncultured bacterium. Its description in RNAcentral is "bacterial SSU rRNA". It matches the Rfam family "Bacterial small subunit ribosomal RNA", at positions 340 to 786 of the family's 1533-position model. The record is from RNAcentral.
UACGGGAGGCAGCAGUGGGGAAUAUUGCACAAUGGGCGCAAGCCUGAUGCAGCCAUGCCGCGUGUAUGAAGAAGGCCUUCGGGUUGUAAAGUACUUUCAGUCGUGAGGAAGGUGUUAAGGUUAAUAACCUUAGCAAUUGACGUUAGCGACAGAAGAAGCACCGGCUAACUCCGUGCCAGCAGCCGCGGUAAUACGGAGGGUGCGAGCGUUAAUCGGAAUUACUGGGCGUAAAGGGCACGCAGGCGGUUAAUUAAGUUGGAUGUGAAAUCCCCGGGCUUAACCUGGGAAUGGCAUUCAAGACUGGUUAGCUAGAGUCUUGUAGAGGGGGUAGAAUUCCAUGUGUAGCGGUGAAAUGCGUAGAGAUGUGGAGGAAUACCGGUGGCGAAAGGCGGCCCCUGGGACAAAGGACUGACGCUCAUGUGCGAAAGCGUGGGGAGCAAACAGGGAUUAGAUACC